UACGGGGGGGGCAAGCGUUGUUCGGAAUUACUGGGCGUAAAGGGCGCGUAGGCGGUGCUCUAAGUCGGAUGUGAAAACUCUGGGCUCAACCCAGAGCCUGCAUCCGAAACUGGAGUGCUAGAGUUCUGGAGGGGGUAGCGGAAUUCCUGGUGUAGCGGUGAAAUGCGUAGAUAUCAGGAGGAACACCGGUGGCGAAGGCGGCUACCUGGACAGAAACUGACGCUGAGGCGCGAAAGCUAGGGGAGCAAACAGG
This 253-nucleotide ribosomal RNA is filed under the name uncultured bacterium. RNAcentral describes it as "partial 16S ribosomal RNA". It matches the Rfam family "Bacterial small subunit ribosomal RNA", at positions 524 to 776 of the family's 1533-position model. The record is from RNAcentral.